GACAGAGGGUGCAAACGUUGUUCGGAAUUACUGGGCGUAAAGCGCGUGUAGGCGGCUCGGAAAGUCGGAUGUGAAAGCCCUGGGCUUAACCUAGGAAGUGCAUUCGAAACUCCCGAGCUUGAGUUCUGGAGAGGAAGGCGGAAUUCUCGGUGUAGAGGUGAAAUUCGUAGAUAUCGAGAGGAACACCGAUGGCGAAAGCAGCUUCUUGGUUCACAUCUGACGUUGAAACACGAAAGCGUGGGGAGCAAACAGG
Molecule: ribosomal RNA, 253 nt
Filed under: uncultured bacterium
Lineage: Bacteria
Description: partial 16S ribosomal RNA
Rfam family: Bacterial small subunit ribosomal RNA
Source: RNAcentral